AGUCUGCAGAAUUGCACGCUUGGACUUUGUGACACCUGUCAUUCUGCCACCCAGACAGCCGCGCUGACUUCCUGCUCUGGGGAGCCCAGGCCCGAGGGCUCCCUGCGUGUGUCCUGGGGCGCUGCACAGCCAGGAACGCAGCUCCCACCUGUGGCUGCCUCCCCCAGGAGACGGGGGAGGGGCUGGGAAGCAUCAUGUCUCCAUCCUGGCGGGUCCCCCAGGUGGGAGGGAGAACCAGGCACCAGCUCAGCAGGCAAGGGCAGCAGAGGGUGGUCCCUGGCCUUGCUCUUGAGCCCCGGGACCCAGAGCUGGCGGGGGGUUUCCCUUGCAAGGGACUCUGCACUGGCCGAGCGCGUGAAACUGCGCGGGGUCUUUUUGCCUGAAGGGCCCGAGGUGGAGCCACUCCUCCCCAGGAGCUCAGUGCAGGGACCCGAGCAUCUGCACCAGGGUCUGAGGGGCCAGGGCCGGCUGCUCAGGUGGCAGAGGGUCCUGGUGUCAGGUCUGCCUCCAGGCCGUGGCCACAGCCUAGAGCAAGUUCAGCACCCAGGGUCUGGAUCCUGGCUCUCAGGCGGUCAUCCCGCAGGAAUCUGGGGCCAAGGGCCAGGAGCAUGGGGCAGGAGGGCGGUGCCGGGGCCCCAGGAGCAGCUGCCCCUGACCUGGUACCAGGUCCCUCCUAGGGACCCAGCAGGGCGCAGUAUGUCCAGUGGUGCGAGGGUGGGUGGGACUCUGGUUCCCUCAGGAAUGGUCUGGCCCGGCUGCCCACCCCCAUGGCUGCCCAGAGCUGCCUGUGGGUCGCCUGCCGGGGCAGUUGCUGCAGGGUCCCUGCCGGGGUUCGGGUGGUCCUGGGGGUUCAGGCUGGAGGGGACCUGGGCUCUGGGAUCACACCUGUGUGGGGUUGGUGCCCUGCAGUCCAUGAGACCUGGGCCUCAGGGAGCCCCCUCCCCAGUAGGAAGAGGCCAGGCAUGCUGGGCAGCCUCCAAAGGACGCGGGUCGCACUCCAUGGGCUUGGCCACAGCUGCCCCCUGGCAGGGCCGCGCCCCACCUCACACCUGGCGUGUGUCUGCAUAG
Molecule: long non-coding RNA, 1068 nt
Filed under: Oryctolagus cuniculus (rabbit)
Lineage: Eukaryota; Metazoa; Chordata; Mammalia; Lagomorpha; Leporidae
Description: lncRNA (ENSOCUG00000038020.1)
Source: RNAcentral